GACGAACGCUGGCGGCGUGGAUUAGGCAUGCAAGUCGGACGGUAGGGCUUUAUCGUAAGAUAGAGUUUGAGAGUGGCGAACGGGUGAGUAACACGUAGGAAUCUACCCUUAAGACGGGGACAACCCAGGGAAACUUGGGCUAAUACCGGAUGAGAGUGCGAGAGAUUGCAUUUAAAAGGAUGGCGAAAGUUGUCGCUUAGGGAUGAGCCUGCGGUCUAUUAGUUAGUUGGUGAGGUAAGAGCUCACCAAGGCGAUGAUAGAUAGGCGGCCUUAACGGGUGGUCGCCCACACUGGGAUUGAGAUACGGCCCAGACUCCUACGGGAGGCAGCAGUCGAGAAUAGUCUACAAUGGCCGGAAGGCUGAUAGUGCGACGCCGCGUGAACGAGGGAGCCUUCGGGUGUAAAGUUCUUUUCUAUACGAGCAGUGCUAUAUAUAUGGAUAGUAUAUAUAGAGGGAUAGUAGUAUAGGAAUAAGCAACGGCUAACUCCGUGCCAGC
RNAcentral lists this ribosomal RNA (497 nucleotides) under uncultured bacterium. Its description in RNAcentral is "bacterial SSU rRNA". It matches the Rfam family "Bacterial small subunit ribosomal RNA", at positions 28 to 512 of the family's 1533-position model. The record is from RNAcentral.